AGAGUUUGAUCAUGGCUCAGAGCGAACGCUGGCGGCAGGCCUAACACAUGCAAGUCGAACGGACCCUUCGGGGUUAGUGGCGGACGGGUGAGUAACACGUGGGAACGUGCCUUUAGGUUCGGAAUAGCUCCUGGAAACGGGUGGUAAUGCCGAAUGUGCCCUUCGGGGGAAAGAUUUAUCGCCUUUAGAGCGGCCCGCGUCUGAUUAGCUAGUUGGUGAGGUAAAGGCUCACCAAGGCUACGAUCAGUAGCUGGUCUGAGAGGAUGACCAGCCACAUUGGGACUGAGACACGGCCCAAACUCCUACGGGAGGCAGCAGUGGGGAAUCUUGCGCAAUGGGCGAAAGCCUGACGCAGCCAUGCCGCGUGAAUGAUGAAGGUCUUAGGAUUGUAAAAUUCUUUCAGUAGGGACGAUAAUGACGGUACCUACAGAAGAAGCCCCGGCUAACUUCGUGCCAGCAGCCGCGGUAAUACGAAGGGGGCUAGCGUUGCUCGGAAUUACUGGGCGUAAAGGGAGCGUAGGCGGACAUUUAAGUCAGGGGUGAAAUCCCAGAGCUCAACUCUGGAACUGCCUUUGAUACUGGGUGUCUUGAGUGUGAUAGAGGUAUGUGGAACUCCGAGUGUAGAGGUGAAAUUCGUAGAUAUUCGGAAGAACACCAGUGGCGAAGGCGACAUACUGGAUCAUUACUGACGCUGAGGCUCGAAAGCGUGGGGAGCAAACAGGAUUAGAUACCCUGGUAGUCCACGCCGUAAACGAUGAUUGCUAGUUGUCGGGUUGUUUACAACUCGGUGACGCAGCUAACGCAUUAAGCAAUCCGCCUGGGGAGUACGGUCGCAAGAUUAAAACACAAAGGAAUUGACGG
RNAcentral lists this ribosomal RNA (861 nucleotides) under uncultured bacterium. RNAcentral describes it as "bacterial SSU rRNA". It matches the Rfam family "Bacterial small subunit ribosomal RNA", at positions 8 to 916 of the family's 1533-position model. The record is from RNAcentral.